AUUGCAAAUUUGGCUUCAAGCAAAUAAUUUUCUGAUUUUCUAUUCAGACAACAGAUCAGAGAACAAAACGAGAAAACAUAAAGGAAAAGCGAAAGGCUAUCUUAGAGGCAAGACUUGCCAAACUUCGACAAAAAAAGAUGAAAAAAUCAAAAGAAGAUGGAACAGAAGAAGCAAAUAGAGAUGGAGAUGUUAUUGGGCCUUUGCCACCGGAGCCAGAGGCUGUGCCAACUCCACGUCCUGCUGCCCAGAGUAGCAAAGUAGAAGUCAUUGUCCAGGAGAGGAAGGACACCAAGCCUGGAGUGCCACACAUCCGGGAGUGGGACCGCGGAAAAGAAUUUUCCUUUGGAUACUGGUCGAAGAGGCAGUCAGAUCUCCGGGCUGAGAGAGAUCCUGAGUUUGCCCCACCGUCAGAUUACUUUGUGGGUCAGAAGAGAACUGGUUUUUCCAGCAGCCAGGCAUGGAGCA
This 465-nucleotide small RNA is filed under the name Pongo abelii (Sumatran orangutan). Its description in RNAcentral is "processed transcript". Lineage: Eukaryota; Metazoa; Chordata; Mammalia; Primates; Hominidae. The record is from RNAcentral.